UCUUGCGCAAUGGGCGAAAGCCUGACGCAGCCAUGCCGCGUGAAUGAUGAAGGUCUUAGGACUGUAAAAUUCUUUCACCGGGGACGAUAAUGACGGUACCCGGAGAAGAAGCCCCGGCUAACUUCGUGCCAGCAGCCGCGGUAAUACGAAGGGGGCUAGCGUUGCUCGGAAUUACUGGGCGUAAAGGGCGCGUAGGCGGACAGUUUAGUCAGAGGUGAAAGCCCAGGGCUCAACCUUGGAAUUGCCUUUGAUACUGGCUGUCUUGAGUACGGGAGAGGUGAGUGGAACUCCGAGUGUAGAGGUGAAAUUCGUAGAUAUUCGGAAGAACACCAGUGGCGAAGGCGACUCACGGCCCGUUACUGACGCUGAGGCGCGAAA
Molecule: ribosomal RNA, 378 nt
Filed under: uncultured bacterium
Lineage: Bacteria
Description: bacterial SSU rRNA
Rfam family: Bacterial small subunit ribosomal RNA
Source: RNAcentral